AAGACUAUACUUUCAGGGAUCAUUUCUAUAGUUUGCUAUUAGAAUUGUUAUGCCUUCUUGAAGAAUUGAGCCUUAGGC
This 78-nucleotide small nucleolar RNA is filed under the name Suricata suricatta (meerkat). RNAcentral's name for it is "Small nucleolar RNA U3 (ENSSSUG00005002889.1)". It matches the Rfam family "Small nucleolar RNA U3", at positions 1 to 78 of the family's 219-position model. Rfam says of the family: Small nucleolar RNAs (snoRNAs) are involved in the processing and modification of rRNA in the nucleolus. There are two main classes of snoRNAs: the box C/D class, and the box H/ACA class. Lineage: Eukaryota; Metazoa; Chordata; Mammalia; Carnivora; Herpestidae. The record is from Rfam by way of RNAcentral.